Molecule: long non-coding RNA, 310 nt
Filed under: Mytilus galloprovincialis (Mediterranean mussel)
Lineage: Eukaryota; Metazoa; Mollusca; Bivalvia; Mytilida; Mytilidae
Source: RNAcentral
UGGGUGAGACUUACUUAUUAAUUAAUAUAUCUGUUUACAUGGAACAAAUAUACAAUUCUGACCUGUGGUAUAAAGUUUAAAGAAGCUGAUUUUUAUUUUCCCUCCUUUUAUUGAUUCAUCAGAGUCUACAUACAAUAUCUUUUGUUAUUGGUGCAAAUCUCAAAUGAUUUCCCCAUGAUUAACCAUUUGUUAUCAUAUUUACAAAUGUCUGAGAACAUUUUGUGCAUCAGGAUUCCGAAACAGUAUGUUGUUUCAAAAUUGAAUAUUCCAAGAAAAUACUAAUAGAUAUAAGAUAUGAUAUGAGUGUCAA